RNAcentral lists this non-coding RNA (193 nucleotides) under Flavobacterium granuli. Lineage: Bacteria; Pseudomonadati; Bacteroidota; Flavobacteriia; Flavobacteriales; Flavobacteriaceae. The record is from RNAcentral.
UUUACCGUGAGGUAUGCACUGAAGGAAGCGAACCGACAAAAGCCUGUACCGACGAACAGAAAUUGUAUAAGAGGCAUAUCAAUAAGGAUGAGUAUCCACAGCAAUACGAAGUCCAAAACAGUGUUCUGAACAUGCUAACAAAUCAGAUUAUUGUUAUGUAGAUACAACGGGAAUAGGCGGAAGGAAAGAGCUC